Astyanax mexicanus (Mexican tetra) is the source of this 179-nucleotide small nucleolar RNA. NCBI's taxonomy places the organism in Eukaryota, Metazoa, Chordata, Actinopteri, Characiformes, Acestrorhamphidae. The record is from Ensembl.
UCUUCCAUACAAAAGAACUGUGCUGAAAUUACAGGAUCUAGGUUCUCCUGGUUCGUGUGAUAAUGCUAGCAGAGUAAAAACAUGGAAGAAGAGCAAGUGCCCUACACCGGAAAUGAAAUGUGGUCGGACCUCUUUCUUAAUGUCCAGUGGCCCCUGUUUCAAGGUUUAGUGCAACAGUU